UACGUAGGGCGCAAGCGUUGUCCGGAUUUAUUGGGCGUAAAGAGCGUGUAGGCGGCUGGGUAGGUCCGCUGUGAAAACUCGAGGCUUAACCUCGAGACGUCGGUGGAAACCAUCCAGCUAGAGUCCGGAAGAGGAGAGUGGAAUUCCUGGUGUAGCGGUGAAAUGCGCAGAUAUCAGGAAGAACACCCGUGGCGAAAGCGGCUCUCUGGGACGGUACUGACGCUGAGACGCGAAAGCGUGGGGAGCGAACAGG
Molecule: ribosomal RNA, 253 nt
Filed under: uncultured bacterium
Lineage: Bacteria
Description: partial 16S ribosomal RNA
Rfam family: Bacterial small subunit ribosomal RNA
Source: RNAcentral